CCUACGGGUGGCAGCAGUGAGGAAUAUUGGUCAAUGGACGAGAGUCUGAACCAGCCAAGUAGCGUGAAGGAUGACUGCCCUAUGGGUUGUAAACUUCUUUUAUAUGGGAAUAAAAUGUUCCACGUGUGGGAUUUUGUAUGUACCAUAUGAAUAAGGAUCGGGUAACUCCGUGCCCGCAGCCGCGGUAAUACGGAGGAUUCGGGCGUUAUCCGGAUUUAUUGGGUUUAAAGGGAGCGUAGAUGGGUUGUUAAGUCAGUUGGGAAAGUUUGCGGCUCAACCGUAAAAUUGCAAUUGAUACUGGCAGUCUUGAGUACAGUUGAGGUAUGCGGAAUUCGUGGUGUAGCGGUGAAAUGCUUAGAUAUCACGAAGAACUCCGAUUGCGAAGGCAGCUUACUAAACUGCAACUGACGUUGAUGCUCGAAAGUGUGGGUAUCAAACAGGAUUAGAUACCCCAGUAGUC
RNAcentral lists this ribosomal RNA (460 nucleotides) under uncultured bacterium. Its description in RNAcentral is "partial 16S ribosomal RNA". It matches the Rfam family "Bacterial small subunit ribosomal RNA", at positions 338 to 795 of the family's 1533-position model. The record is from RNAcentral.